Zalophus californianus (California sea lion) is the source of this 375-nucleotide long non-coding RNA. RefSeq lists it as uncharacterized. The transcript has 3 exons. Lineage: Eukaryota; Metazoa; Chordata; Mammalia; Carnivora; Otariidae. The record is from RefSeq and is a predicted model, not a curated record.
AGGAAGUGUUGCCUUGCUCUCUGUGUCCCUGAGAAAUUCUCUUCCUCCCUGCGAUGUUCCUUCCUCCUUCUUGCAGGCAGCUCUCUGUGGAACUGAACCAAACUAAAGGCUUACACUCCCUGCUGAUGGAGAACCGAGGAGAAGGAGGCAGGGGAGCACCCGUGAAAAGCACCUGCUAGGCUCACUAACUUGGGCGCCGCACGUGAUCGCGAUCACACGGAGACAAACAGCAAAGCCAGGAUACAAACCCAGGACACCAAGACAAGUACAUUUGCCCAAGAUCACCCAGCCAGCAGUGGGACCUUCAGCCCAGGUCUUUGGACACCAAGAGCCAUGCUCAUGCCCUUGGCCCACCCACUGCUCAGCAGAUUGGAA